CGCGCGCACGCACACACACCUGUUCUUCUCCAGUUUGUUGUGGACUUCUCUGGUUCCGAUCCUGAAACCCAGACAGGAAGGAAGUUGAGGGAGGAGGGCCCAAUUAGGUGGUCUUCUGCCCCCUGCUCCCCACAUUCUGUACAAAGCAGCAGUGGGAGAUGUUCAGCCUGUGUAGAGGCACAUACAGCCCCUGGACGGCACGCGUAUGCUCAUAAAUCACAAUCCCUUUAACCCUCCAUCUUGCCCUUGUCCACCUGUGAGGAAUCGGAGGGCCUCCUGGAGCUCACAGAAAUAGCCAGUUGACCCCAGCCCUCACCAAGAGGUCCUCAUUCCAAUACUCUCGCCAAAGGCCUGGAAAUGCCAAUGGGCCCAUCCCUGAGCAGGUCAGAGAACACAGAAGCCUGACAACAGAGGGCAACAGCCAUUACCCACUCCUGGGUGGGGAUGGGCACAGGCACAGACCUGUCCAAAUACGGAUAAGAUGCAUCUCAGGUGGGGAGGGAGGACAUGGCUUUGAAGAACUAGCUUAGGAGGGGCUACUUUCUUUUCCACAUGGAGCCCAGAAUGUGGGCAGUUCUCCAUCCCAUCAGCCCGGAUUCAGCCACACCUCACUCACCCCCCGGGCCUCUUCUUCUGUUCGCUGGAUUUGACUUCUUCGGCUGGUGCCAACUUCAGGGUCCCAAGAGUGGAUGGCGGUGGCUGCUGGGGAGCCAGCUGGGUCUGGACUCCAGGGCAGGGCAUGGGCCAGCCUGGCCAGGCUGCUGGCCUUCUUCUGCUCUUGCUCCCUCUCCCGCUCCAGGCGAAGCCGCUCCUGCUCCUCUACGCAGAGAGAACACAAGGGAUUUCUCAGUGGGCCAGCAGUCCUGGGCCCCAACUUCUGAAGUCUUCCACCAUAACACAUCUUCUGACUCUGUCCCAAUCAGUGCUCAGUGACAUGCCUGCUCAGCCUGAGAGACACCCAGCCAGGCACUUGGGCUAAGGGUUGGGAGCACAGCAGUGAAGAGUUUAAACACACCUGGUCUCUGCCUUUGGGGAGCUAGGCCUAGGGGGUGAGGGGAAGGACAAGUAACAUAGGAUAAGGAUCCAGGCUGGAGAGGAGAGGGGCUGUAGAAAAACAGAGCAGGAGGUUGGGGGCCUGGCAGCCUGAAGGUAGAGGGGUUAGACUGGGGCAGGGAGGUUCAGGAACAAGGCUGAGGGUACUGUGGUGACAGAUAAGCUGGGCAGAGGCCAGUCAGCAAAAGGCCUCACAGGCCAUCAUGGAAGAAUGGACUAGGGGUGGGACGGGGCGGCAGGCGAGGCGGGGGGGCUGUGCUGGACAGAUCAUGGCUUCUAGGGAAGGCCUUCAAUAGUAUUUACAAGUACCUUCCAGAGAGCAGGCAGCAUCUUCAUUUCAAGAUGAAAUAAAUUAGCUCAGAGAGGCAAUGAUUUGUUGAGGAUCACAGAGCAAGUCACAGGUAAAACUGAAACUAGACCCAGCCAGGAAUUCUGACACCUGGCGGAGCCUAUACCAGCUGUGUCAGCACGUGCUCACUAGGUGUCUGUCCACACACACACACAAACACACGCGCGCGCGCACCGCUGGGUCCCCACAAGAGUGCACGCCACAGGCAGGGCAGGGACAUCACCUUCAGUUCACACAUGAGGAAAUGAGGCCCAAGACUCCCAAGGUCUGGUUUCCUUAGGGACCCCACAAAACACAUUCGGUCCUUCUCUGACCUUUGUGGUCCUAUAACUUGUUACACCCAAAUGCCCCCGUGUCCCCACCAGCAGCAGCACAACCAGAAAGGUACGAGGCAGGCAGAAAGAAAAGAAAGGCAGCCUUGCACCUGUCAGUUCAGCAUCUCUCCUGAAAGCCCUGCUGCAAAGCAAGGCCUGCUCAGGACCUCCCUGAGCACACGGAAAGGGGGAGGGCCCUUCCUGAGCCAGAAGCAUCUCUCCACCUCCACCCUGCCCUGCACUCUCCAGGUCCCACAGUUCUGGUUCCCUGGCUCCAGCUGGGAAACCCCAGGCCUGGGAGCAGGCUGGUCAACCAGCCCUCCUGCCUGUCAGGGAUUGGCCACACCGCUGCUAACUGAUCUGACGCUGCUAGCUGCUAACUGAACGGACAGGUAGUUGGCAGACACGCCUCAAACAUACCACCCCACAAGGGGUGGGGCUGGAGGACCAGGUAGGCUCAGAGCCCCCUACGGAGGAGGGCAUCAACCCCCAGCGCCCCACGUGUCUCUGGGGCUCAGCCCUUAGGACCACCAACCACUGGAGUGUGAGCCAGGACUGCUCCAAGCCCUUCCCUCCCACAGGGGAGAAGAGGCAAAGGAGGAAGUAGAGAAAUGUGAGAGAGGAAGCACUCAGCGGUUUCCCAGCAGCCCUGGCCUCUUCCGUAGCUCCCCAGCCCUUCAGGAAGGGGAGCUGCCAGGCCUGCUCCAAGGAAAGGCCUUCUCUCCUGGGCCUUUCUGUGGCCCCCGCACUGGCUUAGGUUACAGGCCCAGAGAAAAACCAGCUCUCUGCCCUCCAGCUUCCCAGAGAGCACACUAGCCAAGAAGUCUGCGGAGUUCCUCCCGCCAGCUUCCCAGUCCAUCCCCCACAUUGCUCCCUAUCCCACCCCUCUACCCCCCUCCCACCCCAUCCCCAAGCAGCUCAGGGCCCGACACACAGCCCACCUUCAUGCUUCUGAGCUAGGACCCAAACUUUCACUGGCUUUGGGACCAGUGUUCCACUAUCCCAUUAGCAGUGGGACUGAGAAGGCCCCAAGCCCCAAGGACAGGUGUCCUGGGAACCCAAACUGAGAGAAAACCUCAUAGUCCCCAUAUGUUAAAGCAACUGUACAGCUCACCUAGGAGAUGGAAACCUCCUUCUCACCUACCCUCUCUCUUCCAGAGUCAGGCAGGUACACCUCACAGGUGCCAGGAAGGAGCCAGGUGAAUGGCCAAACUCUAUCACGCCUGGAUCGGCAUGAAAAAUCUUGACUGAUGGUGAAGAGGGGGUGUCCCAGGCCAGAUCCAGCCCACCAAAGCUUUCUGUCUCCUCCCCACCCAGCAGUGACCCUCUUCCAGUGCCCUGGGUAGGGGGAAACAAAGUGGGGGGGGGGGGGGCACGAACUGGCAGUCACUCAGGGGAUGCCCUCAGGAACAACAGAUUGAGGCUCUGUAAAAUUUGCUCUGCUGCACCCAUGGGUGCACUCCCUCUCCCACUCCCAAACACAUACAUACAUGCUCUGACACCUUCCUUGGGCUUCCCAGAGGCUGGCCCCGGAGAAUUUAGCAUGACCCGUCGGGUGAUUCAGGAGCCACAGGAGUCUACACUGGGUAGCCCCCAGUGUUCAGGAGGAACUCCCCCCUUCUUCAUGCUAACAGGAGACCUGGUUCAUCACAUGAGCAGUCCGGCUCCCUCUGGUUGGGAAACCCACCCUGGACACUGAAAGGGCAGUGUGGACAAGAGGAUCCCCAUUCAGAGCUGCUCCUUAGUGCGUUCGCAUCCUAUUAGGCGACGUCACCGGGCCGCGGGCCAAUGGGCGGGCAGGACAACACGGCAUGGAGCAGCUCCACAUGGACACCCCGCGCCGCCAGCCUUCUGUUUAAAGGGCCAGUGUCUAACACGGUCACAUUCGUGGAUAAGGAAACUGAGGCCCAGAGACCAGAGAGGACGUGUCUAAAGUCACUCAGUAUUCCACUUGCUGCAUUCCCCAGAGGGAGGAGUAUUUAUCUGAUCCGCUGGACGACUCUUUUGAAGGCAGUUCUGGAGCAGGGCAACCAAUUCGGAAAAAAAUCAUGGAGGAGCAUCAAACUGCCUGCAUGAGGCAGAGUUUGCCUACUUACCAUGUUGUAGUCGGUUUCUCAAAAUCUUCACCUAAAAUCCUGCUGUUCUGCUUGUUAGGUGCAGGCCACACAAGCCCCACUGGUGCAGUUGGCGGGGACACAGAGGCCCCCUGAAGGCACUCUGGUAGUACUGGAUGCCAGCAGUCCUAGGGCCCCUGGGUCCUAGCCUCAGAUUCUGCUACCAGUUCAGAGUGCGACCCGGCCAGUUGGGUUCAGGGUCCUGCAACUUGGGCUUCACCAUCAUACAAAGCUACAAAGCAAGACUUUUUGAGGACGGCUGAGUGGCAGACCAUCCUGCCGGUACAUCUCAUCACAGCCCAUUCCAUCCCCACUGUGCCCUUAGAGAGGUAUGUUCCUAUUUUGGAGUUUAGCUAGAAGCACAGAAAGCCGGUACAAACGCAGCCUGCUGGCUUUGCUCCUUUCCUUUGAGGGCAUAAUGCAUACUAAGGAAAGAGAAUCUGCACAGAUCUUGGAAAUCAGGAACCUAGUGAACAGAAGGAAGGGGGUGGUUUGCCAGCGGCAGUCUACAGAGGGCUCUGAUCUUUGCACAGUUAAUGCCCCAGAGUCUGUAGCUGAGCAGAGAGGCAGUUGCUCACGUCCAGGUGCCACUAGCUUGGCUUAUGAUGGAGCUGUAAAGGAAGGUGUGGGAACAACAUAGCCCAGGUGCCCUUUCCCUGGGACAGAGAGAUCUGUGCUGGUUAUUUUAGAUAUCUGCCGCCUGCUACUAGUGUGGCUGGGCCUGGCCCUCUGCACAACCAAAGAACAGGACAGUUUAAAGGCAAUACCAGAUGUGUGUGUUGGGGUGGGGUGCUAAACAGGGUAUGUAAUAUACAUAAUAGCCACCUGAAAUCAUGUUGUUGACCAUAUUUUCAUUGUUUGGGAUCAGCACUGUGUACUCUGUCAUGGCCCAAGAUUCUCAGAGAACUCCAUCCAGCUGUACCUUCUGCCUUCCUCAAGUGCUCAUAGCACUCACAUAGCCCUGAAGUCUUGUAGAGGCUGAAGUCCAAUUUUUGACUCUUCUUGUCAGAUGCCAGCUCUAUUCCAUUAAAAAGGCACUCCUCUGAAAGGGAGCAUUCCAAAGACACUUUUUAUUUCGGGAGUGGGUAAGCAAGAGAUAAAAGUGGGGUGAACAGAGUCAAAUGGCAGCCUCUCCCUUGCCCCCAAUACCCCAUCUGCUCCAGAGCUUAGUGGAGAUGCUUGCUAUUUAAAACAAACAGCCUUACUGGCUUCACAUGAUCAUCUGUUUAUUUGGGUCAUGUGGGGACAGCAGCCAGGGGAUGUUAGGCAAAAGUAAGGGUUUAGAAAAUAAGCUUUUUUUUCUGAGCCUGUUGUUGCCUACAGGAGCCUAAAAAUGGCUGAACAGAAUUUCUUACCAGUCAGGGUUUCCCCAACUGGGGAAUGGGCAGUUGGGAGACUUAACAGUGGGGGUGUAAGCGGAGAGAGCAAUGAAUAGAGAGCCAUUUAACAUUUUAGCCCCAGCUUCUUGUUCCAAAGGGAUGGAACUAGGGUAGAAGCUGGCAACUGUAUUCAUUCAAAGGAAAGCGAAAAGAAGUCUUCUGAUGUUUCAGCAGAAAGGUGAGCACUUUGUGGGAAUGAUCCAAAGCCCGGCCAUCUCCAAAAAGUUAUACCUGAAGUUCUAUUUUAUGCUUCUAGGUGCUUAGGACCUUUGGAGCGGGAAGACACCUGGGCCACUCAUCAUUGUGUACUUGCUCAUUAAAGGAUUUCUAUUUCA
Long non-coding RNA from Canis lupus familiaris (dog), 5544 nucleotides. RefSeq lists it as uncharacterized. The transcript has 5 exons. NCBI's taxonomy places the organism in Eukaryota, Metazoa, Chordata, Mammalia, Carnivora, Canidae. The record is from RefSeq and is a predicted model, not a curated record.